GCAACAGCACAAACGUCAUGAACGGGAACACCGUUUCGAAUUCCGUAGACAUUUUCAUAAGUUUGUUGAAAGACAGUCAUCAAUUCUACCAGUGUGGAACUAAAUGGGUUGCUAUGUUGACGCAGUAACUGAAUAAUGUUUGCAUCUAAAAGUACUUUAUGAGUGACAUCUAGCGGCACCAUAAAUAGUUUGCCGAUAAGUGAUUUAGUCUCUAAAACGAGCCUAGCUGCCUCAGGAUCAGCAUACACGUUGAAUUCUGCUUGAGAAGUAAUAUUUCCAAUGCCUGUGCUACCACCCAUAAAUAUAAACCUUUCUAUGUUGUCGGUAACGCUUGGGUACGUUGCCAAUAACAAUGCAAUGUUUGUCAAAGGACCGGUAGCUACGAGAGUGACAGGCUCUGGAUAAUUAGAAAUAGUGGUAUACAUAGCGAACACCGCAUCAGGAGUAGCCUUCUUUUUGGGAUAAUCAGGAAGCAAUGAAAUCCCUGCAAGCCCAUUCGUACCAUGUAUGUGAGUAGCGAACGCGGACUCGCGCAUCAAGGGCUUCGCUGCGCCAGCAUGAACAUCAACAUCUUGAUUUAAAAGCUCCAUUACCGCUAAAGCAUUUUUGGUAGUAAAUUCUAGCGUUGUAUUACCAUGUACGGUACUAACACCCAAAAUUUUACAAUGUCCAGCGCAAGCAGCCAAUGUUAAGGCGACAACAUCGUCAUGUCCAGGAUCGCAAUCGAUCCAUAUGUUAUAGUUUUCUAAUGCGGAGCCUUUUUGGAAUGAAUCAAUUGUGUUAGUCAUGGUGCCACAAUAAUCACUAAGCUUAAAAAAAAAUCGAUUAGUACUAGCUAUGAGGUUUUUUAUGACUUUAUUACUUUGGACAUCCGAAGAUAAUAUUCUUGCUGGACGAGGACACAAUAAAAUAUAUGGCUAAUAACCUUGCAAAGAGAUAUGUGGUGUUGUGGUUUAAAAAUGGUAAUAAAUAUUGCACAGAUGGAUAGCCUAGUAGCCCCUAAUGCGGAAAUUGUCUAUUCAACCGACCUUGUAAGUAGACAAUUAAUGUAUCAAAAAUGCCGACGCUUGAAAUCUAUCUUCAUCAAUUUUCGUUUAAUUUUCCGCUGUUCUGGAUACAUUUGAGUAACGCACUGCAAGAGAGUGGCUCACAAAACGUAGAAAAACGUUAUUUUGACUUAUGAUUUGAAAUUUAUUUGCUACGGUUAGUGUUUGCAAUGACUUUCCGUUUAAUUCCUGAAACCAUUUAUCAACAGCUAGCAUGAUUAAAAACUAACCGAAUUUUUUGUUUGCUAAUGAAUAA
Non-coding RNA from Schizosaccharomyces pombe (fission yeast), 1302 nucleotides. The record is from the annotation of a GenBank genome assembly. Lineage: Eukaryota; Fungi; Ascomycota; Schizosaccharomycetes; Schizosaccharomycetales; Schizosaccharomycetaceae.